Long non-coding RNA from Papaver somniferum (opium poppy), 1747 nucleotides. RefSeq lists it as uncharacterized. The transcript is spliced from 6 exons. The record is from RefSeq and is a predicted model, not a curated record. NCBI's taxonomy places the organism in Eukaryota, Viridiplantae, Streptophyta, Magnoliopsida, Ranunculales, Papaveraceae.
CAACUAUAGACAGAAACACGGCGAGUGGACUGAUCUUCUUCAUUCUUCUGCGAAACUUCUCGAACCAUCUGCCCAGUUCCCUGCCUUGCCUUACAGAGAAACUUAGAUCUAUUAGAAACGUUAUCAAAGAAGCUUAAAUGUACCAACUGAAGUUCCUGCAGAAUCUGCCACCAGGCUGUUAGCGCGCCGAACAACUUGCACGCGAUCUCAAGUCUUUUGAGUUAAAGACAAAAUUUGAGGAUGUCUUCCCCGCUGAGGCAACAAGUGUCGAAGAGUAUUUGCAGCAGGUUCAUGAAAUGACCAUGCUCACAGCUAUUCAGGAGGCUCAGAAGGAUAACGUUAGAAGCUUUAAUGAUUACAUGGUGCAAGUUUUGGAGGACUGGCAAAAGGAAAAGUGGGAUUUUCUUCAAGGCUUGAGUCGGCUUUCUACACUUCCCAGAGCAAGCGGUAGUGUAGGCACAGUGAUUAAUCGUCCUGGUGAAAUGGCUUCCAUUACUUCUAGUCCAGGGGUUUUUACUGGUACCAGGCAUGCUCGUACCUUCAGCAAAUAAUAAGCCUACCCUCGGAAUGAAGGCUUCUAUAUAUGCUGAGGUUGUUAGGAUACUAAAUGACGCAAGAGAAUGAGCCUUUCCAGUUGAGCUUUAUUUCUUCUAGUAUUCAUCAGGUAUUAUAUCCAACUUAUUAUGGAUUGGGUAUGGGUGCGUGCAGUCUUAACAACCAGUUGGACUUUCGCACCCAUUAUAUUAUGGAUACUUAUGAAAAAAAAAGGUGAAUGUAAGUAUUUUUAAUAGCCCCACUAUCUUCAUAAGGGCUUGAGUUUGAGAGGUAAAUCCAAGCCCUUGAGUUUUCUUGAUCAGUCACUAAUCACUAAUCAAGUCAUUUUUGUUUCGUUAUGCAAGGUUCUAAUUAUAAAAGAAAUCCAUUGAUUCAUUCUCAUCCAAUCCGUCCAUCCAUUUGAUGUUGGAUUGAAUGUGGAUGUCAAAUGUGAAAUCCAUCUUGUAUUGGAUGAGGCAAAAAUUGGCCCCUCCGGACCAUACUUAGUGUAGGGGUUUUUGAGUUGGUUGAUCACCUUAUUCUUCCUUUUGGUUUUGGGUUUGUUGAACUUUGCUGAUUUCCUUGCUUUUCAACAUAGUGUUAUAAUUUCCAAUAAAUUAAAGAGAUCAAGCCCCAACAAUCAUCUGUAACCCCAGCACGGGCAUCAGACCGAGCAAGCAACGCAACCAGGCUUUACUGAUGAAGAAAGUUUGGCAAGUUCAGGCAGAUGAGGAAUCAAUAUGGGCCACCAUGAGCAGAGACAAGUAUCUAAAUGGACACAAGCUUCUCUCAGGGCCCAUACAAAAACCAAAGGCAUCGACAAGCCCGCUGUGAAAAAGUUUAACUAACCAAGCUUCUUUUUUGCAGGAACACAGUUUCUCAAGAAUUGAGAAUGGCCAACAUACAUCAAUCUUACAAAACUGGAUAACGCACCAAUCCAACCAUCUCAUACACCCACCCCACCCAAAAUCCAAGUAUCAGCUCUCAUAGACAAUGAAACAAAUACUUGGAACCUUAGAACUACUACACAACAUGUUCCACACCAACACAGUCCAACACAUCAGCAACAUUCACUUACCAAAAUAUCCAGUUGGUACCAUCAUUUGGCCACACUCAAAAAAUGGAGAAUAUACCUGCAAAUCAGGAUACAACCUUCUCAUCACACAACAGCAAGCCAAACCCAACAACAUCCAAAACACCCUAUCAAACCAAA